Molecule: ribosomal RNA, 253 nt
Filed under: uncultured bacterium
Lineage: Bacteria
Description: partial 16S ribosomal RNA
Rfam family: Bacterial small subunit ribosomal RNA
Source: RNAcentral
UCCAGAGGGUGCGAUCGUUGUUCGGAUUUACUGGGCGUAAAGGGUGCGUAGGCGGCGGGGUAAGUCUGAUGUGAAAGCCCCGGGCUCAACCUGGGAAGGGCAGUGGAUACUGUACGGCUGGAGGGUCGGAGGGGAGAGUGGAAUUCCCGGUGUAGCAGUGAAAUGCGUAGAUAUCGGGAAGAACACCCGUGGCGAAGGCAGGGCUCUGGCCAAACACUGACGCUCAGGCACGAAAGCUAGGGGAGAAAACAGG